AGUGAACGCUGGCGGUAGGCCUAACACAUGCAAGUCGAACGGCAGCACAGUAAGAGCUUGCUCUUACGGGUGGCGAGUGGCGGACGGGUGAGGAAUACAUCGGAAUCUACUUUUUCGUGGGGGAUAACGUAGGGAAACUUACGCUAAUACCGCAUACGACCUACGGGUGAAAGUAGGGGAUCUUCGGACCUUGCGCGAUUGAAUGAGCCGAUGUCGGAUUAGCUAGUUGGCGGGGUAAAGGCCCACCAAGGCGACGAUCCGUAGCUGGGCUGAGAGGAUGAUCAGCCACACUGGAACUGAGACACGGUCCAGACUCCUACGGGAGGCAGCAGUGGGGAAUAUUGGACAAUGGGCGCAAGCCUGAUCCAGCCAUACCGCGUGGGUGAAGAAGGCCUUCGGGUUGUAAAGCCCUUUUGUUGGGAAAGAAAAGCAGCAGGUUAAUACCCCGCUGUUCUGACGGUACCCAAAGAAUAAGCACCGGCUAACUUCGUG
RNAcentral lists this ribosomal RNA (492 nucleotides) under uncultured bacterium. RNAcentral describes it as "partial 16S ribosomal RNA". It matches the Rfam family "Bacterial small subunit ribosomal RNA", at positions 29 to 507 of the family's 1533-position model. The record is from RNAcentral.